GGGAUUGCCCCAGUAACGGCGAGUGAAGCGGCAACAGCUCAAAUUUGAAAUCUGGCCUCGGCCCGAGUUGUAAUUUGCAGAGGAUGCUUCUGGCGCGGUGCCUUCCGAGUUCCCUGGAACGGGACGCCACAGAGGGUGAGAGCCCCGUAUGGUCGGACACCAAGCCAGUGUGAAGCUCCUUCGACGAGUCGAGUAGUUUGGGAAUGCUGCUCUAAGCGGGAGGUAUACGUCUUCUAAAGCUAAAUACCGGCCAGAGACCGAUAGCGCACAAGUAGAGUGAUCGAAAGAUGAAAAGCACCUUGAAAAGGGGGUUAAACAGUACGUGAAAUUGUUGAAAGGGAAGCGCCUGUGACCAGACUUGCGCCGGGCGGAUCAUCCAGCGUUCUCGCUGGUGCACUCCGCCCGGCUCAGGCCAGCAUCGGUUCUGGCAGGGGGACAAAGGCGGCGGGAACGUGGCUCCCCCGGGAGUGUUAUAGCCCGCCGUGCAAUGCCCCUGCCGGGACCGAGGUUCGCGCAUCUGCAAGGAUGCUGGCGUAAUGGUCACCAGCGACCCGUCUUGAAACACGGACCAAGGAGUCGUCCAUUACGGCGAGCGUUUGGGUGUAAAACCCCUGCGCGGAAUGAAAGUGAACGUAGGUGAGAGCUUCGGCGCAUCAUCGACCGAUCCUGAUGUUCUCGGAUGGAUUUGAGUAAGAGUCGUAACGGACGGACCCGAAAGAUGGUGAACUAUGCCUGUAUAGGGUGAAGCCAGAGGAAACUCUGGUGGAGGCUCGCAGCGGUUCUGACGUGCAAAUCGAUCGUCAAAUAUGGGCAUGGGGGCGAAAGACUAAUCGAACCAUCUAGUAGCUGGUAC
This 853-nucleotide ribosomal RNA is filed under the name Pleurostoma ootheca. RNAcentral describes it as "LSU rRNA". It matches the Rfam family "Eukaryotic large subunit ribosomal RNA", at positions 71 to 957 of the family's 3401-position model. Lineage: Eukaryota; Fungi; Ascomycota; Sordariomycetes; Calosphaeriales; Pleurostomataceae. The record is from RNAcentral.